GUUGCUUGAAGAGAGCCCAAACCCUUACUAGAGCACGUAUUAUUGGAGCACUGCUGGUGUCGUACUUAUUGAGAGACCAAAAAUGUCCACUUGGAUCCACUAAUUACUGCAAAGCGAAUUGGUUUGGUAGUGACCGACACUAGAAUGAAAAAUUUCUUGCCACCGUGUAUUAACAUCAAGACACCCACAUCACUGCAGGAAAACAUAACUUUGAAGUCGUAGAACUAGCUUUAACGCCAACAACAAUGCCAACGUGGAAAUCCAACUAAGAAUCCCUCCUUCCAACCGGUGGUACUUUUGGACUGAGAGGCCUGGACAAUGACAAUAACGGAUGAGUCGGCGCGGAUAGUUUUCGAAAAAAGGGUUUUGCGGGGUAUUUAUUGAGCUUUUUGAAUAGCGAAUACCGUUGGCGCUGGAACAAUGAGUUGUACGAGAUAUACCACGACGCUGACUUAGUUCAGAGAAUUAAGGGGCAAUGGCCACGUUAACUAGGCUUAUAUGGAAAACAAUACUUGGGCUCUCUCGGUGUCUCUAAGUGACGCCGAAUGACGAAAAUAAGAAAUGACUGGCACAUUAUUGUCGCCUUGGUUGUAAUGGCUUUAGCGGAACCUGCCGGACUUUACGAGUACUAUCGGUAAAUUUUAUACAUGCAUACAUACGUACAUAUUUCUUAAUAAUGGCGAAGAACACAAGAACACUUAAAUUGUUACUUCAGCAGUUCUCCCAAUUUCGUUCGAGAGGGUAAGACUUCGUCUGCUACAAUACUUCAGUAUAACAAAUCAUUGUCCACAUCAAGAUGAAGGAUCCAUAUAUAUUGCAAUCAGAUCAUGGCUAAAUGGCCGAAAUGAGAAAAAAAGUCACGAAGGUUCAACCAGCUGAAAGAAUUAUCCACAAUUAUCUAUACAGUUUUAAUUGAGCAGGCACAUAGGGUAAUUCUUCGUAACGUCAAAUGACUUCUGCUAGGAGAAUGAAUCUGCCACUUUAACGCUCUUACUUUAAAAUGUACACCACCUUAGAUCAUUAAAUUAAACCCUCCCGCGGAGUCUAUCUCUAGAGACUAUCUCUAGCGAGCACAAAGAUUCGUCAGCCGCUCAGAUUUGCUAAGUCACACAUUGGUUUGACUAGCCGAUUAGAGGGGCUCUAAAUAUCCUUAGUGGUACCAAAAUGAGCACGUUCGGAGACCUAAGUACACCGCUGACCACCAACCACUUGAGAACUUACAGGAAGAUCGCUUCAUAGAUGAUUACAAUUUUUGCCGCAAAAUUAUCUUUGCCGAUGAAGCUCAUUUCCAUCUCGAAGAAUAUAUCAAAAGGCAGAAAUUACAUAUUUGUAGCUUAAAAAGCCCUUUCAUAACCAUGGAAAAGAAAACGCAUUUUCAACGCGAGAACUUCCAAGUUUAUAACAACGUUCAUAGCCUAGGCUCGAUACUCCAAUUGGCGUGGAAUCUAAACUUUCGUAAAAUCACAACUACAUUAGACAGAUAACUCUGGUUGAAAGAAUUUACAGAAACAGAUCUUCUUCAAGUAUUUCUCACUUCACUUGGAAGCGCCCACACUGAAACAAGCGAGUGCUUGAUGUCUUAAACAAUUUAGAGCAGUAGGACAGCAUAAGCGCCCGCCUUAAGUCCGACAGAGGGCUACUCAAUUUAAAGUCAGCGCCGGCAAUUAUGAGAAUUACUAAGAUAAAAAUAAAAUUUUACGUUUACCCCACAACAAUAAAAAUCUCUGCAAUGAAUUUUUAUACACUUUUCCAUACAAUUUAUAAGGACUCACAAUGACUUACCAUAGACACGUUCGAUAUUGAGUCCUUUUACUUUCAUUCACUCUCGUAAGCGGUGAAAGCUCUAUUAUUAUUACAUAGUGCCAAAGUACCACUACUACCCAGCAAUUUGAGUCAAUGGCAAGCGGUGAGCAGCGGUCGUAAGGUGAGAAUCGUGCAAAAAGAGGCGAAACUGAAGCUGAAACGAUUCCAAUUGCGUUGUUCAAGUGGUCAGGCAACCACUUGACUUUUAUGGCUGCAUUUGAAGUGUGCUACAUUUUUAACGUUCCAUUGGUGCGCUCUGAAUAUUGCAAGAGAUGGCAGUUUUUCAUUGCAACUAGACAUAAAAUUCCAUUGCAAUACAUUUAAAUUGACCUCAAUAGUUACGACCAGCAACGACGUUCACGAGUGAUACCUGUCAGCGGCAGACUUGAGUUGCGGCAAUGUCAGCGUUAAAUCCUUUCUAGGAUCCCAAACGAAUAUUGAAAUAUUUAUACGCUCGCUUUUCAAUGACAGAAAAGUAGCUUUGAAUCGUCAAAACGGUUUAGUUUAACAAGCAUAUA
Molecule: long non-coding RNA, 2321 nt
Filed under: Ceratitis capitata (Mediterranean fruit fly)
Lineage: Eukaryota; Metazoa; Arthropoda; Insecta; Diptera; Tephritidae
Description: uncharacterized LOC110118517
Source: RNAcentral